Molecule: transfer RNA, 66 nt
Filed under: Campanulotes compar (small pigeon louse)
Lineage: Eukaryota; Metazoa; Arthropoda; Insecta; Psocodea; Philopteridae
Description: tRNA-Pro
Source: RNAcentral
CAGGAAAUAGUUUAAGUUAAAAUUUUGGUUUUGGGGACUAAGGAUUUAGAAAGUCUGAUUUUCUGA